CCUACGGGCGGCAGCAGUGGGGAAUAUUGCACAAUGGGGGAAACCCUGAUGCAGCGACGCCGCGUGAGGGAAGAAGGAUUUCGGUAUGGAAAGCUCUAUCAGCAGGGGAGAAAAUGACGGUACCUGAUUAAGAAGCCCCUGCUAACUACGUGCCAGCAGCCGCGGUAAUACGGAGGGGGCAAGCGUUAUCCGGGUUUACUGGGUGUAAAGGGGGUGUAGACGGCAGCACAAGUCUGGAGUGAAAUGCCGGGGCUUAACCCCGGUACUGCUUUUGAAACUGUGCAGCUAGAGUGCAGGAGAGGUAAGUGGAAUUCCUGGUGUAGCGGUGAAAUGCGUAGAUAUUAGGAGGAACACCAGUGGCGAAGGCGGCUUACUGGACUGUAACUGACGUUGAGGCACGAAAGCGUGGGGAGCGAACAGGAUUAGAUACCCCAGUAGUC
This 440-nucleotide ribosomal RNA is filed under the name uncultured bacterium. RNAcentral's name for it is "partial 16S ribosomal RNA". It matches the Rfam family "Bacterial small subunit ribosomal RNA", at positions 338 to 795 of the family's 1533-position model. The record is from RNAcentral.